UCGGUCCUUUCACUGACUGUCCACACCCGAAGUGGAAGAGCUCGAAAUCCGUCUUCAGUGUAUAAUGCAAAACAACCUCAGUGGUUCAAUCAUGCCCACCGACAUGAUUUGUUCGGAUCAUAUGCCAUUUGUUGGACACCUGAUGGAGCCAGAUGGAGGAGGAUGAUGAUGGUUGUGGUGUUUGAACUUCUGCAGAAUGUCUCAGUAAACACCACAGUCUGUUAGGACUGUAUAAUUACUUGUGAUAAACUGGGUGUGAGAAAGCAGCUCCAACAAGAGGAGUUCUACCAUCCGCAUCAAGUCUGUUGGAAAAUUCUCGUGGUUUAAGAUUGGGGAUGUGAAACCAGAGAGAAGAUAUCACAGCAGCUACAACACACUGUUGAGCAGUCUUUGGAAGAAUUCAUACUUUACAGGUAACAAGCAAGACGCUGCAAACACCUGAUGGAGAAUGGAACAGUGGAACAUUUUUCUCUUCUAUCUGAUGCCAAACAAAGUUAAUAGUAAAUGUUUUUCUAUUUGUCAUACUUCGUUUGCCAUAUUUGAUCACUGGCAGGUCUUCAUCUGCCAGAAGCACUGCCUGUCAUGUAAUAGAUCGAAGGAGUAUGAAUCUGAAUACUUGUACAUCUGAUGUGUCAAACUGGCAUCAUUUUGUUUGUAAUAAAAGCUAUUGA
Molecule: long non-coding RNA, 671 nt
Organism: Seriola dumerili (greater amberjack)
Lineage: Eukaryota; Metazoa; Chordata; Actinopteri; Carangiformes; Carangidae
Exons: 4
Source: RefSeq, a predicted model, not a curated record